This 374-nucleotide ribosomal RNA is filed under the name uncultured organism. RNAcentral's name for it is "bacterial SSU rRNA". It matches the Rfam family "Bacterial small subunit ribosomal RNA", at positions 526 to 896 of the family's 1533-position model. The record is from RNAcentral.
CGUAGGGCGCGUAGCGUUGUCCGGAUUUAUUGGGCGUAAAGAGCUCGUAGGCGGCUUGUUGCGUCGACCGUGAAAACCCGCGGCUUAACUGCGGGCUUGCGGUCGAUACGGGCGGGCUGGAGUUCGGUAGGGGAGACUGGAAUUCCUGGUGUAGCGGUGAAAUGCGCAGAUAUCAGGAGGAACACCGGUGGCGAAGGCGGGUCUCUGGGCCGAUACUGACGCUGAGGAGCGAAAGCGUGGGGAGCGAACAGGAUUAGAUACCCUGGUAGUCCACGCUGUAAACGUUGGGCGCUAGGUGUGGGGGGCCUCUCCGGUUUCCUGUGCCGCAGCUAACGCAUUAAGCGCCCCGCCUGGGGAGUACGGCCGCAAGGCUA